AGACCAUGAUGAAGACAUUUCCUCAACAGCUCCUUGAAUCUUUCCCAAGUUUCAUAUAAGAAUUCUCCAUCCUCUUGUGAAUACGUAUUGAUUUCAGUCAAAAAUUU
This 107-nucleotide small nucleolar RNA is filed under the name Helianthus annuus (common sunflower). Its description in RNAcentral is "Plant small nucleolar RNA R71". It matches the Rfam family "Plant small nucleolar RNA R71". From Rfam's summary of the family: R71 is a member of the C/D box family of snoRNAs containing the C (UGAUGA) and D (CUGA) box motifs. Multiple nearly identical copies of this snoRNA have been identified in Arabidopsis, and it is thought to function as a 2'-O-ribose methylation guide for 18S ribosomal RNA. The record is from RNAcentral. Lineage: Eukaryota; Viridiplantae; Streptophyta; Magnoliopsida; Asterales; Asteraceae.